This 78-nucleotide non-coding RNA is filed under the name Rhodobacter sp. Lineage: Bacteria; Pseudomonadati; Pseudomonadota; Alphaproteobacteria; Rhodobacterales. The record is from RNAcentral. RNAcentral also lists the same sequence under 1 other name.
UCCGGGCUUCGUGGCGAUUUGUUACCGGAUUGCGGGCCACGUUAAACAUGCCGCUAAAAUGGUCAGGGUUUUCACCCC